UUCAGAACAAAUUGACCUGCUUUUUAACGCGACUGCUUUCCUUGCGGCAAGCGUCUCGCGGAACCUGAUGUGCUUUAUAAAAUGCAUCGGAUCUGAAAUGGGAUUGUUUGAGCUUGGAAAGGCAAUGAGCAUGGAAGUGUUGCGGCAAAUAGAACUGGUAGCCCAGGAAAAUCCUGUUUUGCUUGAGCAGGCAAUGGCUGCCUUCCUCCAGUGCAGCACAAUUAAGUUUAAUGAGGACUGCACGACUGCCUACGAAAUGUACAGGUGCUGCCAACGGAAUGCGCCUGACGUGGUUUCGAAAAUAAUCUAUAAUAAUUACGAUAAUGGAUCAAUC
Molecule: long non-coding RNA, 334 nt
Organism: Cloeon dipterum
Lineage: Eukaryota; Metazoa; Arthropoda; Insecta; Ephemeroptera; Baetidae
Exons: 4
Source: RefSeq, a predicted model, not a curated record